GAAGCCAGAAUGUAUAACCUUUUGGAAAAGGAUGAAGAAUCAAGUGCUCAUGUGUUGCUUCUCGAGUUUGCCAUUUUUUAAGAUUGCAUUUCGGACAUGGGAAAAUUAUCUUACCCUCAACGCUCUUAUUAGCAAAUGCAAAGUCCAAAAAUUUAUUCAAUCCGUCCAUGUACUGACAUGUAUUUCGAGGCAUGUUAAUCCAAGACUUAUCC
This 212-nucleotide long non-coding RNA is filed under the name Phaseolus vulgaris (common bean). RNAcentral's name for it is "long non-coding RNA (PVUL_LNC001029)". Lineage: Eukaryota; Viridiplantae; Streptophyta; Magnoliopsida; Fabales; Fabaceae. The record is from RNAcentral.